UUUUUAAGUCAUGCUCAGGAUGAACGCUGGCGGCGUGCCUAACACAUGCAAGUCGAGCGAUCUCUUCGGACGGACGGGUGAGUAACGCGUGGGUAACCUGCCCUGUACACACGGAUAACAUACCGAAAGGUAUACUAAUACGGGAUAACAUAUGAAAGUCGCAUGGCUUUUGUAUCAAAGCUCCGGCGGUACAGGAUGGACCCGCGUCUGAUUAGCUAGUUGGUAAGGUAAUGGCUUACCAAGGCAACGAUCAGUAGCCGACCUGAGAGGGUGAUCGGCCACACUGGAACUGAGACUCCUACGGGAGGCAGCAGUGGGGAAUAUUGCACAAUGGGCGAAUUUGAAGUCACAGCCUGAUGCAGCAACGCCGCGUGAGCGAUGAAGGCCUUCGGGUCGUAAAGCUCUGUCCUCAAGGAAGAUAAAAGCAUGACGGUACUUGAGGAGGAAGCCCCGGCUAACUACGUGCCAGCAGCCGCGGUAAUAUGUAGGGGCGUUAUCCGGAAUUACUGGGCGUAAAGGGUGCGUAGGUGGUCAGAAGUGAAAGGCUACGGCGGGAGGACUCAACCGUAGUAAGCUUUUGAAACUAGAGAACUUGAGUGCAGGAGAGGAGAGUAGAAUUCCUAGUGUAGCGGUGAAAUGCGUAGAUAAUUAGGAGGAAUACCAGUAGCGAAGGCGGCUCUCUGGACUGUAACUGACACUAGGCACGAAAGCGUGGGGAGCAAACAGGAUUAGAUACCCUGGUAGUCCACGCCGUAAACGAUGAGUACUAGGUGUCGGGGGUUACCCCCCUCGGUGCCGCACUAACGCAUUAAGUACUCCGCCUGGGAAGUACGCUCGCAAGAGUGAAACUCAAAGGAAUUUCGGGGACCCGCACAAGUAGCGGAGCAUGUGGUUUAAUGCGGAGUCAAGCGAAGAACCUUACCUAAGCUUGACAUCCCACUGACCUCUCCCUAAUCGGAGAUUUCCCUUCGGGGACAGUGGUGACACGAAGCAAGGUGGUGCAUGGUUGUCGUCAGCUCGUGUCGUGAGAUGUUGGGUUAAGUCCCGCCAACCCUUGCCUUUAGUUGCCAGCAUUAAGUUGGGCACUCUAGAGGGACGGCUAUGCCGAGGAUAACUCGAGGUGGGGAUGACGUCAAAUCAUCAUGCCCCUUAUGCUUAGGGCUACACACGUGCUACAAUGGGUGGUACAGAGGGUUGCCAAGCCGCGAGGUGGAGCUAAUCCCUUCAUUCUCAGUUCGGAUUGUAGGCUGAAAGAGAGCUCGCCUACAUGAAGCUGGAGUUACUAGUAAUCGCAGAUCAGAAUGCUGCGGUGAAUGCGUUCCCGGGUCUUGUACACACCGCCCGUCACACCAUGGAAGUUGGGGGCGCACGGUCCAGACCCGAAGCCGGUUAGCUAACCGGCCGUCGAAGGUGAACAAAUGACUGGGGUGAAGUCGUAACAAGGUANCCGUAUCGGAAGGUGCGGCGGACUAG
RNAcentral lists this ribosomal RNA (1473 nucleotides) under uncultured Clostridium sp. RNAcentral describes it as "bacterial SSU rRNA". It matches the Rfam family "Bacterial small subunit ribosomal RNA". The record is from RNAcentral. Lineage: Bacteria; Bacillati; Bacillota; Clostridia; Eubacteriales; Clostridiaceae.